This 429-nucleotide ribosomal RNA is filed under the name Bacteroidota bacterium. RNAcentral describes it as "Bacteroidetes bacterium partial 16S ribosomal RNA". It matches the Rfam family "Bacterial small subunit ribosomal RNA", at positions 355 to 776 of the family's 1533-position model. Lineage: Bacteria; Pseudomonadati; Bacteroidota. The record is from RNAcentral.
UAGGGAAUCUUCCGCAAUGGACGCAAGUCUGACGGAGCAACGCCGCGUGAGUGAAGAAGGAUUUCGGUUCGUAAAACUCUGUCGUUAGAGAAGAACAGCGCAUAGAGUAACUGUUAUGCGUGUGACGGUAUCUAACCAGAAAGCCACGGCUAACUACGUGCCAGCAGCCGCGGUAAUACGUAGGUGGCAAGCGUUGUCCGGAUUUAUUGGGCGUAAAGCGAGCGCAGGCGGUCAAUUAAGUCUGAUGUGAAAGCCCCCGGCUCAACCGGGGAGGGUCAUUGGAAACUGGUUGACUUGAGUGCAGAAGAGGAGAGUGGAAUUCCAUGUGUAGCGGUGAAAUGCGUAGAUAUAUGGAGGAACACCAGUGGCGAAGGCGACUCUCUGGUCUGUAACUGACGCUGAGGCUAGAAAGCGUGGGUAGCAAACAGG